GGGGUAGCAAUACUCUGAUGGCGACCGGCAAACGGGUGCGGAACACGUACGCAACCUUCCUUUAACUGGAGAAUAGCCCCUCGAAAGAGGGAUUAAUACUCCGUAACAUGAUGAUAAGGCAUCUUAUUAUUAUUAUAGCUCCGGCGGUUAAAGAUGGGCGUGCGCCUGAUUAGGUAGUUGGCGGGGUAACGGCCCACCAAGCCUGCGAUCAGUAACUGGUGUGAGAGCACGACCAGUCACACGGGCACUGAGACACGGGCCCGACUCCUACGGGAGGCAGCAGUAAGGAAUAUUGGUCAAUGGACGCAAGUCUGAACCAGCCAUGCCGCGUGGAGGAUUAAGGCCCUCUGGGUUGUAAACUCCUUUUAUCUGGGAAGAAAUCCAUAUAUUCUUAUGUGGUUGACGGUACCAGAGGAAUAAGCACCGGCUAACUCCGUGCCAGCAGCCGCGGUAAUACGGAGGGUGCAAGCGUUAUCCGGAUUCACUGGGUUUAAAGGGUGCGUAGGCGGGUAAGUAAGUCCGUGGUGAAAUCUCUGAGCUUAACUCAGAAACUGCCGUGGAUACUAUUUGCCUUGAAUAUUGUGGAGGUGAGCGGAAUAUGUCAUGUAGCGGUGAAAUGCUUAGAUAUGACAUAGAACACCAAUUGCGAAGGCAGCUCACUACACAAUCAUUGACGCUGAGGCACGAAAGCGUGGGGAUCAAACAGGAUUAGAUACCCUGGUAGUCCACGCCCUAAACGAUGAUUACUCGACAUCAGCGAUACACUGUUGGUGUCUGAGCGAAAGCAUUAAGUAAU
Molecule: ribosomal RNA, 796 nt
Filed under: uncultured Sphingobacteriia bacterium
Lineage: Bacteria; Pseudomonadati; Bacteroidota; Sphingobacteriia
Description: bacterial SSU rRNA
Rfam family: Bacterial small subunit ribosomal RNA
Source: RNAcentral